AAGUCGUAACAAGGUUUCCGUAGGUGAACCUGCGGAAGGAUCAUUAACACGUAUCCAAACGUUAAACCCCCGUGAACUUUCAGUCCUGCUCUUGUAGCUUGUGUGUGUAAGCAGCAAUCUCGGUAAAUCAAGUGGGAGAAAAGUUCUGAUUCGAGACCUCUGCACCAUGUGGGUUACAAUUGAGCGGUAGAAGCAGUGGCAUGGCGUCCCAAGCCUCCAAGUGAAUGUCAGUGUCAUUUUGGAACAAGUGAGGGAUAACGCUUCUCGGUUGCUAGAGGUCGCUCACCGACCGGCAGACAUGUCACAGGGCCUUGCGCCCCCUAAUCACCCCUUGCCUAUCACCCCCGCCUCCUGAUGAAAGUCCGAGGCAAAAAAAACCGAACAACUGUUAACAAUGGAUAUCUUGGUUCUC
This 412-nucleotide unclassified non-coding RNA is filed under the name fungal sp. Its description in RNAcentral is "partial internal transcribed spacer region". The stretch from base 1 to 46 matches the Rfam family "Eukaryotic small subunit ribosomal RNA", at positions 1786 to 1831 of the family's 1831-position model. The record is from RNAcentral. Lineage: Eukaryota; Fungi.